AGUUAAGUGAAGAAGGGCGCACGGUGGAUGCCUUGGCACUAGGAGCCGAAGAAGGACGGGACAAACACCGAUAUGUCUCGGGGAGCCGUAAGUAGGCAUUGAUCCGGGAAUUUCCGAAUGGGGAAACCCACUGCUCGUAAUGGAGUAGUAUCCUUACCUGAAUUCAUAGGGUAAGGGAGGCAGACCCGGGGAACUGAAACAUCUCAGUACCCGGAGGAAGAGAAAGCAAAUGCGAUUUCCCAAGUAGCGGCGAGCGAAACGGAAACAGCCCAAACCAGAAAGCUUGCUUUCUGGGGUUGUAGGACACUCCAAUGGAGUUACAAAGAAACCAUGUAGAUGAAUUGAUCUGGAACGAUCAGCCAAAGAAGGUAAGAGCCCUGUAAUCGAAAGAUGGUUUCCUCCGGAGUGGAUCCUGAGUACGGCGGAACACGUGAAAUUC
RNAcentral lists this ribosomal RNA (439 nucleotides) under Terrihalobacillus insolitus. RNAcentral describes it as "partial 23S ribosomal RNA". It matches the Rfam family "Bacterial large subunit ribosomal RNA", at positions 1 to 434 of the family's 2925-position model. Lineage: Bacteria; Bacillati; Bacillota; Bacilli; Caryophanales; Bacillaceae. The record is from RNAcentral.